UAAUUAUAUACAGAGCAGAGCUGCUGUGCUCUUAGCAGUAUGAAGGUUUUCGUAGUUUUAAACCGUUUUCAAUGACGAAAUUUUCGAAUCGACGAUCAACUCCGCCAGACUUGACCUACCGUAUCUGAAAUAUCUAGAAAAUAGAUUUUACGAUUUUUCGAUAUUAUUUACCUAGUGAUCGAAAGAGAUCAAAAUCAAUUGCUGGAAAUAAAAAUCUCUCAAAAAGUGGUGAUUUAGUAUUGGAAUUUUCGAUCAGAAAUAUUAAUUUUGUUGUAAAUAGUAUAAAAAAUUUUCUAUCAAAAUUUAGCUGAUUUAAUAUUUUCACAUCAUUAAACUUGAAAAUGGCACAGAACAAUCACUAAAAAUUAUUGAUUUCAAACACUUUUGAUUACUAGCUGAAUGAUAUCGAAAAAUCAAAAAAAUUAUUUCCUAGAUACUUCAAAUAUAGUAGAUCAAGUCUAACGAAAUCGAUCGUCAAUUCAAAAAUUCCAUCAUCAGAAACGAUUUAUGAGCACGAAAGCCUCCAUGCUCGAGAUAUAUAUAUAUAUAUAUAUAUAUAUAUAGAGAGAGAGAGAGAGAGAGAGAGAGAGAGAGAGAGAGAGAGUUGGCCAGAAUACUAUUAAUAGUAUUUGCCUCUUUUUAUUAUCAAGUUUUAGUUUUUAGAUUAAUUCUUUUGAUCAUUUCUAACAAUUGAAUUAAAUAUUAUAAUCUAGUGGAAACCACUCAAUUCUAGAAAGACCACUCAAUCCUAAAGGACUAAUAUUAUCCUAAUCUUAUAAUUUCUCACCUAAGAAUUAAAAACUCAAUAUAUAUAUAUAUAUAAUUAGGCUGGAAUACUAUUAAUAGUAAAAUGUUCUUUUUGCUAUCAAGUUUUUAACCCUUGGAUAAAAAAUUGUAUAUAUAUAUAUAUAUAUAUAU
This 918-nucleotide long non-coding RNA is filed under the name Ananas comosus (pineapple). RNAcentral's name for it is "long non-coding RNA (ACOM_LNC031761)". Lineage: Eukaryota; Viridiplantae; Streptophyta; Magnoliopsida; Poales; Bromeliaceae. The record is from RNAcentral.